RNAcentral lists this transfer RNA (76 nucleotides) under Burkholderiales bacterium. RNAcentral's name for it is "tRNA-Lys". It matches the Rfam family "tRNA". From Rfam's summary of the family: Transfer RNA (tRNA) molecules are approximately 80 nucleotides in length. Their secondary structure includes four short double-helical elements and three loops (D, anti-codon, and T loops). RNAcentral also lists the same sequence under 1 other name. The record is from RNAcentral. Lineage: Bacteria; Pseudomonadati; Pseudomonadota; Betaproteobacteria; Burkholderiales.
GGGGCGUUAGCUCAGUUGGUAGAGCAGCGGACUUUUAAUCCGUUGGUCGUAGGUUCGAAUCCUACACGCCCUACCA